AUGACUGAAAUUCACAGAAAUAGAGAGUGUUCUCUUUGUCCCCAGAGGAACCUAAUGUUGGAUAUUUUACCGAACAGAAUUGUGGGUUCCCAUAGGGCCGGUCUGACAGUACACCCAGACAGGUGCAAAUUAAAGAGGGAAGGACAAUAACAGAGAUUUCAUUAAAUUGAGCAAUCCGAGGUGAGAGAAUUAGGCAAAUAUUGGAAAAGAGAUUGUACAGACGGGCUUUCCGCCAAUAAAAACAUUAUGAGAGAAUCAUUUCACCUGGGAGAAGGUAAAUAUUCACACACUCCAACCACAUAAAGUUGGAUAGG
This is a long non-coding RNA of Sinocyclocheilus rhinocerous, 314 nucleotides long. RefSeq lists it as uncharacterized. The transcript has 3 exons. The record is from RefSeq and is a predicted model, not a curated record. NCBI's taxonomy places the organism in Eukaryota, Metazoa, Chordata, Actinopteri, Cypriniformes, Cyprinidae.